GAAACCGAGAGGAGGGGACGUGGUGUCAGGUUCUGUGUAAGCCCGUUGUCCUGCCCGUGUUAUCAUGUGACGGUGACUUCUGACCGAACCGAACCAUAACAAAUAUUCACAAUGGGUUAAAAUGAAGUAAAUUUGGGGUUUGUGUUGUGCGCAUGCGCAACGUAUGCGCAGAAACAACGGGUAGGAUGGAUUGUGAGGUAGGAUGGAUUCCCGGAACACCUGGGCUGUGUCCCUUUUGACAGUUCACUCUUCGGCCGCUCCCUUCUGCCGUAUUUUGCGGCAAAAUGAUCCACACCAACCGCCGCGCUAUGGAUUGUGGGAUAUAUGGGGCCACGAAGCGUGCACCGGACUACGCUUGAUAUUUGGGGAAAUCGACGGCGCAUUUGGAGUAUGCAUUUGAAGUGCACUUCGAAUUGGGACAGCCGUCGUCGCGUGGCGGUGACGUAAUCGCACUUAAAAUGCGUACUUCAAGCGUGCAUACCCUGAAUUGGGACACAGCUCUGGUCUCAGGUACGCGCAGGUGCGUUCCCCACCUCAGUGAGGCUCGCAGGUGGAAGCUGCGGCUUCAGGCAAAACCACACCCAUCACGGCGGUGAUGUCACACUGUUUAAACCUGAGGAGCUUCACAAAUCAACAUUAAUCCUCAGACCUGCAGCAGCCGUGAGAGGAGCGACACACAGCAUUCAGUCACAGACCAACGUUUUCCAUCAUGUCCCUCUCAUUUCAUCAUUUAUUGAUCCGCUCGACGCUGCAAACAUCUGCACAGAUGUGAGCCACUCCUCCGCUGGACCAUCAGAGCGCUGGAGACACGGCGAGGAAUCUCUCAGCGAUUAGAAAUCAGUCCUGCGGCUCAGUGCAGAUUCAUAUCAGCUGGUUCAGACCCAACUGAAAUGUGCGUUAUUGCCGCGUGUCCCACAGGGUGAAACCGUGAGCUCUCUCCAGAUCUUCAAACUUUCUUGUUUCAAACAGUGAGCGUGUGGGGCCACAGUUCAUCAUCACAGACCAUCAGGUGCUCCUCACACACAGAGGAGGACAGAAACACCUGGACCAGCAGGUGUGACUGUCUGAAGUAAUGCACUCAAGCAGCACGGCUGUACGCAUGCUUACCUCCACGACUCCAUCACUGAAGACAAAGCCAAUCAGCUGAGCUGAAUCCACCUGACACAAAGAACAAAGCAUGUCUUUAUCCUGUCUUCCUUCUCUCACCCCAACCAAUCACAGCAGAUGGCCCCGCCCCUCCCUGAGCCUGGUUCUGCCGGAGGUUUCUUCCUGUUAAAAGGGAGUUUUUCCUUCCCACUGUCGCCAAAGUGCUUGCUCAUAGGGGUCAUAUGAUUGUUCGGUUUUUCUCUGUAUGUAUUAUUGUGCGAUCUACUGUACAAUAUAAAGUGCUUUGAGGUGACUUCUGUUGUGAUUUGGCGCUAUAUAAAUAAAAUUGAAUUGAAUUGAAUUGAAUUAUGAUUUUAAAACCUUUUAUCAACUAUUUAUAUUUUAACCAUUUUUUAUAACCG
Molecule: long non-coding RNA, 1508 nt
Organism: Oreochromis aureus
Lineage: Eukaryota; Metazoa; Chordata; Actinopteri; Cichliformes; Cichlidae
Source: Ensembl